GAUGAACGCUGGCGGCGUGCCUAAUACAUGCAAGUCGAGCGAACAGACGAGGAGCUUGCUCCUCUGACGUUAGCGGCGGACGGGUGAGUAACACGUGGAUAACCUACCUAUAAGACUGGGAUAACUUCGGGAAACCGGAGCUAAUACCGGAUAAUAUAUUGGACCGCAUGGUUCGAUAGUGAAAGACGGUUUUGCUGUCACUUAUAGAUGGAUCCGCGCCGCAUUAGCUAGUUGGUAAGGUAACGGCUUACCAAGGCAACGAUGCGUAGCCGACCUGAGAGGGUGAUCGGCCACACUGGAACUGAGACACGGUCCAGACUCCUACGGGAGGCAGCAGUAGGGAAUCUUCCGCAAUGGGCGAAAGCCUGACGGAGCAACGCCGCGUGAGUGAUGAAGGUCUUCGGAUCGUAAAACUCUGUUAUUAGGGAAGAACAAAUGUGUAAGUAACUAUGCACGUCUUGACGGUACCUAAUCAGAAAGCCACGGCUAACUACGUG
RNAcentral lists this ribosomal RNA (497 nucleotides) under uncultured bacterium. RNAcentral's name for it is "partial 16S ribosomal RNA". It matches the Rfam family "Bacterial small subunit ribosomal RNA", at positions 28 to 507 of the family's 1533-position model. The record is from RNAcentral.